GGCUCAGUAGCUCAGUUGGUAGAGCAAAGGACUGAAAAUCCUUGUGUCGGCGGUUCGAUUCCGUCCUGAGCCACCA
Molecule: transfer RNA, 76 nt
Filed under: Bacillus thuringiensis
Lineage: Bacteria; Bacillati; Bacillota; Bacilli; Caryophanales; Bacillaceae
Also listed under: 39 other names
Description: tRNA-Phe
Rfam family: tRNA
About the family: Transfer RNA (tRNA) molecules are approximately 80 nucleotides in length. Their secondary structure includes four short double-helical elements and three loops (D, anti-codon, and T loops). Further hydrogen bonds mediate the characteristic L-shaped molecular structure. tRNAs have two regions of fundamental functional importance: the anti-codon, which is responsible for specific mRNA codon recognition, and the 3' end, to which the tRNAs corresponding amino acid is attached (by aminoacyl-tRNA synthetases). tRNAs cope with the degeneracy of the genetic code in two manners: having more than one tRNA (with a specific anti-codon) for a particular amino acid; and 'wobble' base-pairing, i.e. permitting non-standard base-pairing at the 3rd anti-codon position.
Source: RNAcentral